RNAcentral lists this unclassified non-coding RNA (2805 nucleotides) under Octopus sinensis (East Asian common octopus). Its description in RNAcentral is "protocadherin gamma-A11-like, transcript variant X4". Lineage: Eukaryota; Metazoa; Mollusca; Cephalopoda; Octopoda; Octopodidae. The record is from RNAcentral.
UCCUUUCCUGUCCGAGGAUUAUGAGAUGCAGUUGUGAUACACUGAAGCAUGGAUAUGCUGCUUUCAUUUUUCAUAUUGUUUUUUGUCUUGCCCUCCUCUUUUUGUGUGGAUCUUAUGUACAGAGUAGAAGAAAGCAAGAAUGCCAGAACAUAUUUAGGAGACAUAGCCAAAGAUUCUCACUUGUUAGAUAGAAUACCAGUUCAAGUCCAAGACCAAGUGACUUUUAGUCAGCUGCAAGGUGGGUCUCUCAAGACUCUGCAGUUGUUCAAUGUUACCAAAACCGGAAAGCUAUACACAGCCCAGUCAUUGGAUGCAGAAAACCUUUGUACAUAUAAUACAGAAUGUUUUAAAAUGGUUGACAUUGCAGUAAGACAAGAGGAAACAUUUAUAAAGAUACUCAAAGUAAAGAUUUUAGUAGAAGACAUAAACGAUCAUUCUCCAGAAUUUCCUCAGGAACAAAUCAGUCUAGAAUUUUCUGAGUCUGAUGGAAAAGGAACUUCAAGCUUGAUUCCCAACGCUAUUGACAAAGAUGUUGGACUCUUUAAUUCUCAGAUAACAUAUCAAUUAGAAGACAGUUUGGAUGAGCCUUUUACCUUAUCCGUUUCCAAAAGAGUGGAUGGCACAGCAACACUUGAGAUUGUUUUAAAAGAAAGACUUGAUAGAGAAGCUAAAGACUCUUACAUGCUGCAGGUUGUUGCUAAAGAUGGAGGCUUCCCUUCAAGAAAAAGCAUUUUGAAAGUCCACAUAGCAGUUAAUGACGUAAAUGACAAUCGGCCAGUUUUUCCUCAAAGCAUUUAUAACAUUUCUAUAAAAAACACACACCAAAUGAAUGUUCCUGUGCUAACUUUGUCAGCAACAGAUUUGGAUUCUGGGAAAAACAGUAAAGUUUCCUAUUAUUUUAGUUCCAAAAUAAGCGAUGUUGCCAGGUUAUAUUUUCAACUAAAUAAAGAUGAUGGUAGAAUAUACUUGUGGAAAAAGUUGCCUGCCGGGCAAAAGAAAAACUACAAAUUGUUUGUGGAAGCAAGGGACGGAGGCCGACCUCCUCUCAGUGCCAUUGCUUUGGUUUUUGUUAAUGUGAUCAACCAACAAAAUAAUGCACCGGAGAUAGAUAUAAAUUUUGUGUCGGCAUUAGUAGACAAUACUGCUACAAUUUCAGAAAAGAUUAAAGUUGGAAGUUUCAUUGCAUUCGUGAAAAUCAUAGAUAAUGACUUUGGACAAAAUGGAGAAGUCUCUUGUGAUCUUCACCAUGAAAAAUUUCAGCUUCGAAGUCUAGCAUCGAAGGAAUACAAAGUAAUAUUGAAAAGCCUUGUUAAUCGAGAGGCUGAGGAUCAUUAUGAUAUAAAAAUUACAUGUGAAGAUAUGGGCCAACCACCUUUGAAAGCUCAGCGACAAUUCUCAAUUCAAGUAAUGGAUGUAAAUGAUGUGCAACCACAAUUUACCAAAAAAACAUUUAAAUUUUUGACUUAUGAAAAUGAAGAACUAAAUUUUCCCGUCGGCUUCAUCAAUGCUACUGACCCUGACUUAGAUUCAGGGGGUAAAUUAUCGUAUCAUUUAGUUAGUGAAAACAAAGAUAAAAUUCCAUUUCAGAUUACAAAUUAUGGUUUUAUUUCAACCAUUGAGUCUUUGGACUAUGAACAGAAUAACAACUAUAAAUUCCAAGUCCUAGUAAAAGACAACGGAGAUCCUCAGUUAAACAAUACAGCAAAUGUUAUUGUUGAAGUUAUGGACGAGAAUGACAAUGCUCCGUAUUUCACUUUUCCUAGUGUUAACCCCUUCAGUUUGGAUGUCUACUAUCACCCUCAAAGUGAAAAUGAUAUCACAACAUUAAGAGCUUCAGAUAGAGACAGCCGAGAAAACGCUUUCCUCCGAUAUGAAAUACUUGGGGGAAAUGACCGACAACUGUUUACAGUCAACCCUUACACUGGAGCCAUGUCUUUCUCUCGCACAGUUUACCAAAAUGAUGCUGGGUUAUACAACCUCCAGUUGAUUGUCAAAGAUAGCGGUACUCCAGUUCUGUCAACGUCUACAGCACUAUCCUUGACAUUGACGGUUAGUAAUAAAACGUCCAAAAUGUUCACUGCAGUGAAUACACAAGCAGACAACAGGAUACAUCUUAAUUUAGUUAUAGUCAUAACACUGGCAGCUGUGAUUGUGUCAGUGGCUGUUGUUGUGUCAAUCAUUAUUUGUAUCGUUCGAUGUCACAAUGUGAGGAAUACUCAACAUAUAACUGAAACAAGCUCACCAAACCAAUCAAGGAGUGAAAAAGGACAUCUUAUUUCACAUGCUAAUAAUUUGACGGCGCUGACGUUAAAUUCUGACGAGACAAGAAACAGUACAAAUGCGUCAAUGAUGUCAAAAACACAGCUCUACCAGGAAGAUGAGUUGCCUGUUGAAUGGAAUAAUUUAAAUGCAACAAGAAGCUUGCCAAGAGCUGCACAGAAUUUGGGCCAAAUUAGAACUUGCACACAAACAUUUUGGAGCUGACAUAAUUUAAUAUUCCAUAUACUCAUUCACUCCAGAAUAAAAAUCUACUUCAAAGCCUCCAUUUCUUCCUUCUGAGAAUCACUGUCCCAUGAAACAGUCACUUCAUUCCUCUAUGUGUUGUUCCUACAUUAUGCUAGCCUGAAAGUUUCAUUAAACUCCACAUUCACAACUGCAAUCUCAUCCAUGAAAACCCUAACACACACAAACAAAAUAAGAUGUAUAUACCACAAGCUGCAGUGACAUCUGGUGGGAGAGGAUUUGAAGAGAACACCUUUAUGAGUCCUGAUUGUUGGAGUGACAUGGUGUUCUCUCAUGUGGACA